This 71-nucleotide transfer RNA is filed under the name Dokdonia pacifica. It matches the Rfam family "tRNA". From Rfam's summary of the family: Transfer RNA (tRNA) molecules are approximately 80 nucleotides in length. The record is from Rfam by way of RNAcentral. Lineage: Bacteria; Pseudomonadati; Bacteroidota; Flavobacteriia; Flavobacteriales; Flavobacteriaceae.
UAACCUGUGAUGUAACGGCAGCAUACUAGACUUUGACUCUGGCGGUAUAGGUUCGAAUCCUAUCAGGUUAU